This 406-nucleotide long non-coding RNA is filed under the name Microcebus murinus (gray mouse lemur). Its description in RNAcentral is "lncRNA (ENSMICG00000048475.1)". The record is from RNAcentral. Lineage: Eukaryota; Metazoa; Chordata; Mammalia; Primates; Cheirogaleidae.
CCCCACCCGCCACCCGCACUCGGCUCCGCAGCCGGCCGGAGCGAGCUCCGCGCGUCCGGGCGGGAGCCGAGGGCUCCCCGGGUUCAAAGGGCCGCAGCCCCGAGGGAAUGCCCUCCUCGCUGUGCCCCAGGGGGCAGAAGCCGACUGCUGGGCGGUGGGACCGGCCUGGGCCACGGAUACAAAGCACAAUGUCUUCAUGAGCAUCCACGACUGCUAAGCCAAGUUCCUUCAGGGCAGGCAGGUGCUGGAACUUGAACAAGAGUCUCAGUCCCAUUUACCGGCAAAUUUUGACAGUGACUUGGAAGAAAUCAUUGAUGUUUAGCAACCAUUGGAAAAUCAUAAACCUAGAGGAACAGUAGAUGGUAAAAUUUGGAACUAAAGACAGCUUCAAAGUCUAAAGCAAAAA